GAUAGAACAAAUUAGAUAGAACUGUUACGAUUAUAUAAAAUAACAGAAUAACUGCAUUGGUAAAAAUACAAUAUCGCUGAUAUUGUGAAGUUUUUAGAUAGUAAUGAGCGCUGCUUUUCUUGGAUCAUCCGGAAGGGAAUGACCUACCGGAUAACAUCGUUAAAUAAAGAGCAAAAAAGAAAGGAAGAAAGAGAGAAACAACGUGCGACAAAAUAAGCUCAUUGUCAAUCGAUCAGAUAUCAAGGAAGAAGGAAGCCGGAAUGGAGAAAGGAGAACAGAAGUCAGGUGUUUUAGUGUGACUUCCGUGCAUCGGCCUAUCCGGUUUCUUGCAUAGAGUGAAACCGAAGCUGAAGAGCGUCUCCUUAAGUUUCAGCCUGGGAGACCCAUUCACCGUAUUACAUGAUGUACGAUAUGUUUUUCAAAGCGAAUACAAUGACGAGUGGCUGUUCAGCUUAAGCGAAACCGGAAGAACAUCGGGUGGACUUACA
Molecule: long non-coding RNA, 488 nt
Organism: Wasmannia auropunctata (little fire ant)
Lineage: Eukaryota; Metazoa; Arthropoda; Insecta; Hymenoptera; Formicidae
Exons: 3
Source: RefSeq, a predicted model, not a curated record